UUCGCAAUGCCCGAAAGGGUGACGAAGCGACGCCGCGUGUGGGAAGAAGGCCCUCGGGUUGUAAACCACUGUCAGGAGUUAAGAAAUAUAGAGAUGUUAAUAGCGUCUCUAUUUGACGAAGGCUCCAGAGGAAGCCACGGCUAACUCUGUGCCAGCAGCCGCGGUAAUACAGAGGUGGCAAGCGUUGUCCGGAAUUAUUGGGCGUAAAGAGCACGUAGGCGGCCUUGCAAGUCAGUUGUGAAAGCCUUUCGCUCAACGGAAGAAUGGCAGCUGAUACUACAGGGCUAGAGUGCGGGAGGGGAGAGUGGAACUUCUGGUGGAGCGGUGAAAUGCGUAGAUAUCAGAAGGAACGCCGGCGGCGAAAGCGACUCUCUGGACCGCAACUGACGCUGAGUGUGCGAAAGCUAGGGGAGCAAACGGGAUUAGAUACCCCGGUAGUCCUAGCCGUAAACGAUGGGCACUAAGUAGAGGGGUUUUA
RNAcentral lists this ribosomal RNA (478 nucleotides) under uncultured bacterium. Its description in RNAcentral is "bacterial SSU rRNA". It matches the Rfam family "Bacterial small subunit ribosomal RNA", at positions 365 to 833 of the family's 1533-position model. The record is from RNAcentral.